RNAcentral lists this long non-coding RNA (207 nucleotides) under Theobroma cacao (cacao). Its description in RNAcentral is "long non-coding RNA (TCAC_LNC001936)". The record is from RNAcentral. Lineage: Eukaryota; Viridiplantae; Streptophyta; Magnoliopsida; Malvales; Malvaceae.
CCGGCCAUAGCAAGAACAAAGGAAGAAAAGAAGAACAAAAACCCUAGAGUGAAAUUUCAAGAGAAAAUUGAUGGAUUUCAAGUAGUCAUGACAUAAAAUGUGAAAUUUCUUAACUCUAGCUUGUGAUCUAUCUUUCCUAUGCAUUCUUUUGCAUUCUCCAUGGUUGAAUCACAAAAUAUCAUGAAGGAUUCAUGGCUGACCGAAUUU